AUCCGAUAUUGAAAUAGAAGUAACCACAAACCUAAUUUUGAGAAUCGAGACUCGUUCAGUUAACUUCAAGCCGAAUCGGAUUCCGGGAGCGGUUGGCGGUGGCGUGGGAAGUUGACCACCAAAGAGGUUGAGGGCGCGUAGUUUUGGCGAGUGAGGAUGGCCAUCGAUACCAUUGAUGCUCCGUCUCCGCCGUUUCAAACCGGACAAUCCGGUCUCUCGCGCCAUUUCUAUCUCGCAGUAGACAGGCUUCAGUUCAAAAUGCAAACGGUGGUUGAUCUACUAGGUUUAGUGGGUCGACGUCCAUGCUUGCCAAUUGUGGUGUGUUGUAGCAGCCGCGACGAUCUUGACUCUCUCUGCUCUUCUCUUUCCGCUCUCCCCUUCAUUUCCUCUUCUGCUUUGUACAGUGACCUUGCUGAAGAUGAACGUGCUUGUAUUUUAGAGAAAUUUCGGCAAGUGACGACAAAGUGGAACCAGACUAAUCAUUCUGGAGUAGGAAAUGAGGAUGAUGCAGGGAAAGAUGAGAGAUCUCAUAUGGUCAUUGUAACAGACGCAUGCCUUCCUCUCCUUGCUUCUGGAGAGCCUCCCAUGAAUGGUCAUCUUCUGAUUAAUUACGAGUUACCGGCAAAGAAGGAAACAUAUGGGAGGCGUAUGGCAACUUGUUUGACAGCUGAUGGAUUUGUCAUCAAUAUGGUUGUUGGUGGGGAAGUGGUAACUCUAAAAAGUAUUGAAGAAAGCAGCGGUAUUGUCAUGCAAGAGAUGCCGAUGCAAAUUCUUGACAUUUUAUGAAGAUAUUUACUCUGUCCUUGUAUGAAGAAAGCAAAGAAUUUGAUCUUGCACUUAAGACUUGAAGCUCUCUCAUUGCUUUGAAUGUUCUGUAUUUCAGCGUGGGCACUAUCAUUGACAUUAAAACUAUAUCAAGGAAAAGUUUUAAGGUAAAAUGUCCUGAAAUUUGGCACUUAUCUGGUACGAUUUGCCAAGCACUUGGGAUUUUGUAGCAUAAAGUUCCCUGAAAUCUGCGGCUUUAUAUGCGGCGUGACUGUGUUAGGGUUGGGAAAGGAUUAGCACCAAGGUUUUUUUGGGCAUGUCACAUGGAAGAAUGUUAACCAUGCAAAGGACGAGAAGAUUCAUUUCCAUAUGGAUUA
RNA transcript from Gastrolobium bilobum, 1142 nucleotides. It is a transcript of the gene named ATP-dependent RNA helicase eIF4A, with no coding region annotated. The transcript is spliced from 8 exons. The record is from RefSeq and is a predicted model, not a curated record. NCBI's taxonomy places the organism in Eukaryota, Viridiplantae, Streptophyta, Magnoliopsida, Fabales, Fabaceae.